RNAcentral lists this small RNA (82 nucleotides) under Arenibacter nanhaiticus. RNAcentral's name for it is "Arenibacter sp. NH36A Flavo-1 RNA". It matches the Rfam family "Flavo-1 RNA". Lineage: Bacteria; Pseudomonadati; Bacteroidota; Flavobacteriia; Flavobacteriales; Flavobacteriaceae. The record is from Rfam by way of RNAcentral.
UUCUCGCGUUAGGGAUUGCAGCGGCAUCCUUUUUUAACGGCUGGGCCGGUUAAAAAAGAUACAGCGGAAAGCGCGACCCGCU